Long non-coding RNA from Populus euphratica (Euphrates poplar), 639 nucleotides. RefSeq lists it as uncharacterized. NCBI's taxonomy places the organism in Eukaryota, Viridiplantae, Streptophyta, Magnoliopsida, Malpighiales, Salicaceae. The transcript is spliced from 3 exons. The record is from RefSeq and is a predicted model, not a curated record.
ACUCUUCUCUUGAAGUUCUCGUUCAACUUUCAAGAGAGAGAGAAACAAAUCGACCGAUGGCGGGAAUGGCUGAAAUGCGGAGGAGACAAGGAGCAGACCAUUAGCUCCUCCUGCUAGAGUUUUUCCUCCUCCGCCUAGUGAUCGUGAGAAGACAUGUACUUUAUUGCUUCGGUUUUUCUAACAACGUUGGAGAACAUCAUAGCAAGGAGGAUUUUGCUGUGAGAGGCAAGGAGCCGAAAGACGGGGUUCAGAUUUAUACAUGGAAGGAUGCUACUCUUCACAAGUUAACUGAACUUGUAAGUUGAUAAGAUGUUGCACUGCUUUGCUUAUGAAUGUUGAAUGGGAAUUGGCAUGUCAUUGGUGAUAUCUGUGGCCUUAUACUUAGGAGCAGAUGCGCUCCCAAGGUUGCGAAGCAUCCAAUGCUUUUGCGUUGGGGUUUCCCAUCAGAAUGGGAUGGGAAAAGUGGACAAGGAGAUUAGAGUAUCAGAAUUGUAGCAAAUAUAUAACGUGUGCUUAUAUUUGCAUGUUCAGUUAUCUCAAGUUCUUAGAUAUAAGGUGUACUAUUACUUGAUAAAUUUUAAGAUUAUUAGCUUUGAUAAUUGAUACUCUGCAAUUGGAAGGUUGAAGCUAUUAUCUUUC